UACGGAGGGGGCGAGCGUUAUUCGGAAUUAUUGGGCGUAAAGGGCGCGUAGGCGGCUGGGCAAGUCAAAGGUGAAAUCCCUCGGCUCAACUGAGGAACUGCCUUUGAAACUGCCUGGCUUGAGGCCGGGAGGGGGUAGCGGAAUUCCCAGUGUAGCGGUGAAAUGCGUAGAUAUUGGGAGGAACACCAGUGGCGAAGGCGGCUACCUGGACCGGUUCUGACGCUGAUGCGCGAAAGCCAGGGGAGCAAACGGG
This 253-nucleotide ribosomal RNA is filed under the name uncultured bacterium. RNAcentral describes it as "partial 16S ribosomal RNA". It matches the Rfam family "Bacterial small subunit ribosomal RNA", at positions 524 to 776 of the family's 1533-position model. The record is from RNAcentral.